UAAGGUUAAGUUAGUAAGGGCGCACGGUGGAUGCCUUGGCACUAGGAGCCGAAGAAGGACGUGACAAACGACGAAAUGCCUUGGGGAGCUGUAAGUAAGCGUAGAUCCAGGGAUGUCCGAAUGGGGGAACCCAAUAGGUAGAUACCUAUUACCCGUAUCUGUUAAGGAUAUGAGGAGGAAGACGCAGUGAACUGAAACAUCUAAGUAGCUGCAGGAAGAGAAAGCAAAAGCGAUUGCCUGAGUAGCGGCGAGCGAAAGGGCAAGAGGGCAAACCGAGAAGUUUACUUCUCGGGGUUGUAGGACUGCGAUGUGGAUUUAAAGAUUAUAGAAGAAGACCUUGGGAAAGGUUGCCAGAGAGAGUAAGAGCCUCGUAUUUUAAAUAAUCUUUAUACCUAGCAGGAUCCUGAGUACGGCGGGACACGAGGAAUCCCGUCGGAAUCUGGGAGGACCAUCUCCCAACCCUAAAUACUCCCUAGUGACCGAUAGUGAACCAGUACCGUGAGGGAAAGGUGAAAAGCACCCCGGGAGGGGAGUGAAAGAGAACCUGAAACCGUGUGCCUACAACAAGUUCGAGCCCGUUAAUGGGUGAGAGCGUGCCUUUUGUAGAAUGAACCGGCGAGUUACGUUAUGAUGCGAGGUUAAGUUGAAGAGACGGAGCCGUAGGGAAACCGAGUCUGAAGAGGGCGGUAUAGUAUCAUGAUGUAGACCCGAAACCAUGUGACCUACCCAUGAGCAGGUUGAAGGUGAGGUAAAACUCACUGGAGGACCGCACCAGGGCACGUUGAAAAGUGCUUGGAUGACUUGUGGGUAGCGGAGAAAUUCCAAACGAACUUGGAGAUAGCUGGUUCUCUCCGAAAUAGCUUUAGGGCUAGCGUCGACAGAAAGAUUCUUGGAGGUAGAGCACUGUUUGGGUGAGGGGUCCAUCCCGGAUUACCAAUCUCAGAUAAACUCCGAAUGCCAAUGAAUUAUGGUCGGCAGUCAGACUGCGAGUGCUAAGAUCCGUAGUCGAAAGGGAAACAGCCCAGACCACCAGCUAAGGUCCCAAAAUAAUUGUUAAGUGGAAAAGGAUGUGGGGUUGCACAGACAACUAGGAUGUUAGCUUAGAAGCAGCUAUUCAUUCAAAGAGUGCGUAAUAGCUCACUAGUCGAGUGACCCUGCGCCGAAAAUGUACCGGGGCUAAAACAAUUUACCGAAGCUGUGGAUCCUUUAGGGGAUGGUAGGAGAGCGUUCUAUGUGUGGUGAAGGUGUACCGUGAGGAGCGCUGGAACGCAUAGAAGUGAGAAUGCCGGUAUGAGUAGCGCAAGACAGGUGAGAAUCCUGUCCACCGUAAGACUAAGGUUUCCAGGGGAAGGCUCGUCCGCCCUGGGUUAGUCGGGAUCUAAGGAGAGACCGAAAGGUGUAUCCGAUGGCCAACAGGUAGAGAUUCCUGUACUAGAGUAUAGAGUGAAGGAGGGACGCAGUAGGCUAACUCAAGCGUGCGAAUGGAAGAGCACGUCUAAGCAGUGAGGUGUGAUAGGAGUCAAAUGCUUCUAUCUGUAACAUUGAGCUGUGAUGGGGAGCGAAGUUUAGUAGCGAAGUGAGUGACGUCACACUGCCAAGAAAAGCUUCUAGCGUUAAUUUAUACUCUACCCGUACCGCAAACCGACACAGGUAGUCGAGGCGAGUAGCCUCAGGUGAUCGAGAGAACUCUCGUUAAGGAACUCGGCAAAAUGACCCCGUAACUUCGGGAGAAGGGGUGCUGGCUUAAAGUCAGCCGCAGUGAAUAGGCCCAAGCAACUGUUUAUCAAAAACACAGCUCUCUGCUAAAUCGUAAGAUGAUGUAUAGGGGGUGACGCCUGCCCGGUGCUGGAAGGUUAAGAGGAGUGCUUAGACGUAAGUCGAAGGUAUGAAUUGAAGCCCCAGUAAACGGCGGCCGUAACUAUAACGGUCCUAAGGUAGCGAAAUUCCUUGUCGGGUAAGUUCCGACCCGCACGAAAGGCGUAAUGAUUUGGGCACUGUCUCAACGAGAGACUCGGUGAAAUUUUAGUACCUGUGAAGAUGCAGGUUACCCGCGACAGGACGGAAAGACCCCAUGGAGCUUUACUGCAGUUUGAUAUUGAGUGUCUGUGCCACAUGUACAGGAUAGGUAGGAGCCAAAGAGAUCGGGACGCCAGUUUCGAUGGAGGCGAUGUUGGGAUACUACCCUUGUGUUAUGGCCACUCUAACCCGG
RNAcentral lists this ribosomal RNA (2209 nucleotides) under Streptococcus sp. HMSC073A12. RNAcentral's name for it is "bacterial LSU rRNA". It matches the Rfam family "Bacterial large subunit ribosomal RNA", at positions 1 to 2230 of the family's 2925-position model. The record is from RNAcentral. Lineage: Bacteria; Bacillati; Bacillota; Bacilli; Lactobacillales; Streptococcaceae.